UCUGGCCUACGGGAGGCAGCAGUGAGGAAUAUUGGUCAAUGGCCGGAAGGCUGAACCAGCCACGCCGCGUGAAGGACGAAGGUGCCAAGCAUUGUAAACUUCUUUUGUCAAGGGACAAAAUCAGGCUCGAGAGCCUGACCGAGGGUACUUGAAGAAAAAGCAUCGGCUAACUCCGUGCCAGCAGCCGCGGUAAUACGGAGGAUGCGAGCGUUAUCCGGAUUUAUUGGGUUUAAAGGGUGCGUAGGCGGACUGUUAAGUCAGCGGUAAAAGCCGGGGGCUCAACUCCGGCGAGC
RNAcentral lists this ribosomal RNA (293 nucleotides) under uncultured bacterium. RNAcentral's name for it is "partial 16S ribosomal RNA". It matches the Rfam family "Bacterial small subunit ribosomal RNA", at positions 335 to 624 of the family's 1533-position model. The record is from RNAcentral.